RNAcentral lists this ribosomal RNA (1246 nucleotides) under metagenome. RNAcentral describes it as "bacterial LSU rRNA". It matches the Rfam family "Bacterial large subunit ribosomal RNA", at positions 1564 to 2817 of the family's 2925-position model. The record is from RNAcentral.
UGAGUACGAGAUGCUACGGCAUCGAAGCAGUCUAUGUCAUACUUCCAAGAAAAGCUUGCAAUGUCAUAAACAAAUAAUGCCUGUACCAUAACCGACACAGGUGGGUAGGUAGAGUAUACUAAGGGGCGCGAGAUAACUCUCUCUAAUGAACUCGGCAAAAUGACUCCGUAACUUCGGGAGAAGGAGUGCCUUAUUUUUAUAAGGUUGCAAUAACAAGAUCCAAGCAACUGUUUACCAAAAACACAGGUCUCCGCUAAGUCGUAAGACGAUGUAUGGGGGCUGACGCCUGCCCAGUGCCAGAAGGUUAAAGAAGUUGGUUAGCAUUAGCGAAGCUGAUAACUGAAGCCCUGGUGAACGGCGGCCGUAACAAUAACGGUCCUAAGGUAGCGAAAUUCCUUGUCGGGUAAGUUCCGACCCGCACGAAAGGCGUAAUGAUUUGGAUACUGUCUCGGAGAGGGGCUCGGUGAAAUAGACUUGUCUGUGAAGAUGCGGACUACCUGCACCUGGACAGAAAGACCCUAUGAAGCUUUACUGUAACUUGAGAUUGAAAUUGGACUUUAUCUGCGCAGUAUAGGUGGGAGACGUUGAAAAUAUUCUUGCGGGAAUAUUGGAGUCAUCAGUGAGAUACCACUCUUAUAAUGUUAGAUUUCUAACUUUGUAUCAUUAUCUGGUCAAAGAACAGUUUCAGGCGGGCAGUUUGACUGGGGCGGUCGCCUCCCAAACGGUAACGGAGGCGCACAAAGGCUUCCUCUGAACGUGUAGAAAUCGUAUCUAGAGUGUAAAGGCAUAAGGAAGCUUGACUGUGAGACCUACAAGUCGAGCAGGGACGAAAGUCGGUCUUAGUGAUCUGACGGUGCUGAGUGGAAAGGCCGUCACUCAACGGAUAAAAGUUACUCUAAGGAUAACAGGCUGAUCUCCCCCAAGAGUUCACAUCGACGGGGAGGUUUGGCACCUCGAUGUCGGCUCAUCGCAUCCUGGGGCGGUAGUACGUCCCAAGGGUUGGGCUGUUCGCCCAUGAAAGCGGUACGCGAGCUGGGUUCAGAACGUCGUGAGACAGUUCGGUCCAUAUCCGGUGUAGGCGUUAGAAUAUUGAGAGGAGCCUUCUUUAGUACGAGAGGACCGAGAAGGACAUACCUCUGGUGUACCAGUUAUCGUGCCAACGGUAAACGCUGGGUAGCCAUGUAUGGAGAGGAUAACCGCUGAAAGCAUCUAAGUGGGAAGCCCACCUCAAGAUAAGUAUUCUCAC